This 138-nucleotide ribosomal RNA is filed under the name uncultured eukaryote. Its description in RNAcentral is "partial 18S ribosomal RNA". It matches the Rfam family "Eukaryotic small subunit ribosomal RNA", at positions 1299 to 1458 of the family's 1831-position model. The record is from RNAcentral.
UGGUGGAGUGAUUUGUCUGGUUAAUUCCGAUAACGAACGAGACCUUAACCUGCUAAAUAGCCCGGCCGACUUUGGUUGGUCGCUGGCUUCUUAGAGGGACUAUCGGCGUCUAGCCGAUGGAAGUUUGAGGCAAUAACA